UCGGCCGCUACCCAAACCCCUCAAAGUCCUGCAUCUUAUCUUCUCAAUUUCUCUCUGAAGAAAACCUAUCAAUCUCACCUACAACACAUGGUUCUUCACCUAUACACCUCAUACAUGACACAAAAUCUCGUUUCACUACCCCCACCCCCCUUCGGUUCCCUGUAACCCGACAAUAAGAUUUUUAUACAAGAUGAUGAACACAAAUUUGGGCACAAGAUUAGGAUAUGAACAGCAGAAGCACAGCACCACCCACUCACACAUCAAAAGAGGCAUCGGGUUCUUCUUCUCUCUAAAAAAAGAAGUAAAAUUUAAACAAUGAACACCACUGAUUCACCUUCCAAUCUAUGAAUAUGAGUGUUUGUGUGUAUAUGUGUGAGAGAGACCACCGGUCGGUUCACCGGCCACACCCCCUUCGAUUCCCCCUUUUCCGACAACACCCACCAGCACACGACCCCCCUCUCAAUUAUAACUGCAAGCACACACACACACCAACCGCCCUCUCGUCUCUCUCGAUUCCAGCGGCUGACGCGGGCGAGGAUGGAGCCGCCGUGAAUGAUGAUGAUGGUGGUGACGAGAUCAGAUGAAGACGAUGAUGUUUUAGAGGGCCUGCGACCGGAGACGCCGCUCACGGCGGCGGUCUUUAUCUCCGACCGACAAACUUCACGAAAUUUUUAUUUCAGUAACCGGAUGCUAUAUCAGUAACCGGAUGCUAUAUCAGAUCUGGAGUAUGGAUCUUGUUCAUUUAGCUUAGAGUAUACAGGCUAAUCUUGUUGUGUUACGUUUGUAAAAAGAUGAUUGUCUGAUAUUUAUCGGCAUCAAUGGAGAAGUUGUUGACAUGUUGCUUGGCACCUCCACUUCAACCAUCCGUGUGUCGGAUAUGCAAGCAAGAAUGAAUAUAAGUUGCCAUUUGGAUUUGGAUUUAGAUUUCGAUUGGGAGUGCGAUUCAACCAUCCGUGUGUCGGAUAUGUAAUUUUAUUUUCUUUAUGCUCGUAGAUUUUAUACAUUUUUUUUAUGUAAAUUUGUAUAAAUUUAUGGUUAAUGUUAUUCAAUUUUUAUAGUUU
Long non-coding RNA from Helianthus annuus (common sunflower), 1061 nucleotides. RefSeq lists it as uncharacterized. The transcript has 2 exons. Lineage: Eukaryota; Viridiplantae; Streptophyta; Magnoliopsida; Asterales; Asteraceae. The record is from RefSeq and is a predicted model, not a curated record.